This 776-nucleotide long non-coding RNA is filed under the name Rhinopithecus bieti (black snub-nosed monkey). Its description in RNAcentral is "lncRNA (ENSRBIG00000045226.1)". The record is from RNAcentral. Lineage: Eukaryota; Metazoa; Chordata; Mammalia; Primates; Cercopithecidae.
GUUCGGCUGACUGCUAGCCUACCGCUCUUACCAUUUUUUCCCAAGACAGAGGCAUGGUAUAACCUGAUCUGUAAUGAGGUGGCCCAGGAGGGAUGGGCCCAGUCGGCCUUGACAGCUUUCAAAGCUUUCCCUUCAAGGCUAUGGCUCAAGUGUGCCAGGGGAAGAUUGUCGACACCUCCGUUUUCCCACAGAGGCUAGCGGAAGCCAUGCAGGGCUGCCAUUAGACUCCCUGAGCUGCGGUUAAAUUACUUGAGGAGCGGUGCCCACUCCAGAAGCGGAUGCACUUAGACUUCCGUUUGUUUCCUCAAAUCCGGUCACGGGAUUUGUGUCUUCCUCGGAGAGGCAUCCAGAUCUGUUACUUCCAGUUCACCGCUCUCGCAGCACCGUUUCAAAUGCGCUUUGGGGCGAAUGUAGAUUCUUGCAUUAAUUUUAUAUUGUGAGCGACAACUAUGAGCCAGGCUCUGAGCUAAAUGCUAGGAAUGAGAAUACACCCAGCCUUGCAAGAGCAUUUUAAUUGUUGUCAACUGAACACAAAAGUGAAGGUUCCUGAAAUGAGGAAAUCAAAUUGUGAACAGAGAAGAAAACAUCAAAGAAGAAAAAUUCUUCACAGAGCUGCUUUUUGGACUUCCGUUGUUUUAACUAAUUAGCCAACCACUGUUAAAAGACAUUCAUUUUGGAAAACUUAUUUAUUUUGGUCUGCCACAUUUAUUUGCUUAGUGUCACUCUUACGUACAUGGAUUACUGGUUAAUGAAGUCUAGAACAGCCAUAUUCAGCG